Molecule: ribosomal RNA, 529 nt
Filed under: bacterium R2(2012)
Lineage: Bacteria
Description: bacterial SSU rRNA
Rfam family: Bacterial small subunit ribosomal RNA
Source: RNAcentral
CCGUAACUUGCUAUGUGGCGUCGAGCGGCGGACGGGUGAGUAAUGCAUAGGUAUCUGCCCGGUAGUGGGGGAUAACCUGAGGAAACUCAGGCUAAUACCGCAUACGUCCUACGGGAGAAAGCAGGGGCUCUUCUGACCUUGCGCUAUCGGAUGAGCUUAUGUCGGAUUAUCUAGUUGGUAAGGUAAUGGCUUACCAAGGCGACAAUCCGUAGCUGGUCUGAGAGGAUGAUCAGCCACAUCGGGACUGANACACGGCCCGAACUCCUACGGGAGGCAGCAGUGGGGAAUAUUGGACAAUGGGGGCAACCCUGAUCCAGCCAUGCCGCGUGUGUGAAGAAGGCCCUCGGGUUGUAAAGCACUUUCAGUGAGGAAGAACGCUUGUGGGUUAAUACCCUGCAGGAGAGACAUCACUCACAGAAGAAGCACCGGCUAACUCCGUGCCAGCAGCCGCGGUAAUACGGAGGGUGCAAGCGUUAAUCGGAAUUACUGGGCGUAAAGCGUGCGUANGCGGCUUGGUAAGCCGGUUGUG